GCGGAGGAAAAGAAACUAACAAGGAUUCCCCUAGUAACUGCGAGUGAAGCGGGAAAAGCUCAAAUUUAAAAUCUGGCGGUCUUUGGCUGUCC
RNAcentral lists this ribosomal RNA (92 nucleotides) under Lactarius blennius. RNAcentral describes it as "partial 28S ribosomal RNA". It matches the Rfam family "Eukaryotic large subunit ribosomal RNA", at positions 50 to 140 of the family's 3401-position model. The record is from RNAcentral. Lineage: Eukaryota; Fungi; Basidiomycota; Agaricomycetes; Russulales; Russulaceae.